AUAAUUCUUUAAUUAUCGACAGAAAAAAGUGAAGUUAUGAGUUGUAUGACAAUAACUCAUGCAAUGGUACAACAAUUGUCUCAUAGUCCUAAAUCUUAGCUCAUGAGACGGUUGUUUCGCGGAACAAUGACAUCAUUUUCUGUCUCCUCUUUCUUUCCUCCAUAUCAGCAAAAAUCCUACGUGGCAAUGCAUAAGUCAGAGUAUGAGACUGCUUAUAUGUAGCAAUAUACUUGCCCUAAGUUGUCUAAAAGAAACAUCAACAUGGCCCCUACUUAAGCCCUCAAAACUAAAUUUAAGGUCCAAAGUAAAAAAAAAGGAGCUCCAACAGCUAAAAUAUGAGAGGACCCUCAAUCUCCAUCUUAGCCCUUAUUCCUAGAGACUCUACUUUAGGCCCUCAAAAGACGCUUGUCGUGGUUGUUUCCCUCCCCCCACUCACGGAAUCGUGUCUGCCCGUCUGUCCGUGCUUGUUUGCAUCUAAUGUCGUGCCACCUACUCCACCAUCUUCGGUGAAGUCCCCCCUUGAUGCAGCCCCACACCCCAAUGGUGCAUCUCGAUCCCCUUACCGAGCCAUCACUAGUACAGGAAUUUUAAUGGAGGCGAUUGUUUUUGGUUAAUGGAGGCGGGUCAAUCCAACCACUCCAAUGAAAGGCCUCGGUUAAUCGAUGGAUAACCGAGGCUGUUACACUACCCACCUCUAUUAGUAAGAUUAACGGAGGUAGACACUUUAUAAUGCCCGCCUCAAUUAAUCGAUCAGAAAAAAUAAAAAAAAAAGAAAAAAGCCCACCUCGACAAAUCCCCAUCGCAUGGUAGACCCAAGCAAGGUCAUCGGCUCACCGCCUCACUGCUUGCUCCUCUCUCUAGGGCAACGAGGUCCCCUGCUUGCUCCUCUCCCCAGGUAACUCACUCUGGCGCCUGCUCGCCCGAGAUAUUUGUCGUUUGCUCCUCUCUCCGAUGACUCCCUCCACUUGGUUCUCCGUCAAACGAGUUCUAUCGCCUGCUCCUCUACUAGGAGCCCCCACUCCCUCAGGCAGCUCCUCUUGUCCUUCAAUGGUGAGAUCCAUCGACUGCUCCUCUCCUCGAAUGGCCCUCCCUCGGAUGACGCCCUCGGUGUUCCUCUCUAUAGCCUUGUGUUGACAUAGCUCAAUUGAUGAGAGUGUGUCUUGGGUCUCGAAUGUCAGUGUCUACUAAAAUGUAUUUGAGAGUUUUCAUUUGAGACUGUUGUUGGAGCUGAUGAAAAAAAUUAGACACUCAAAAGUCUAGAGAUCCAUCAAAUCAAAAGUAGAGGCCCUGAUUAAGGCUGUAGAUAGAGUUGCUCUAGGAUGGUGCAUUUUACUUACCAUGUAUAUGUAAUUUUUUUAAAAUAUGAAUAAUUGAAUGUAGUGGGCUCACUCUCAUGAUAUUAGAUACCUAGGACGAAUGCAAUAAUUUACAUUUGAAUACAUAGUAGUCAUCUUGCCAAAAAAGGCAAGUCUCAAUGGGAUUUCUUAGAGUUUUAUGAGCAUUAAAUAUGAUGAUAUGAUAAUAUAUUAAUGAAGAGAGAUAUGAUAGGAUAGGUUGAAAGUGAGACAUGAAAUCUUCGGUCGAGACUAGCAAGCCACAAUGAAUCCUGCCACGCCUACGCAACAACCACGCACCCUUUUUGACAAAAAACACACCGGCUAUCUGGGCCCCACCCCCACCCCG
Molecule: long non-coding RNA, 1683 nt
Filed under: Sorghum bicolor (sorghum)
Lineage: Eukaryota; Viridiplantae; Streptophyta; Magnoliopsida; Poales; Poaceae
Description: long non-coding RNA (SBIC_LNC018229)
Source: RNAcentral